GAGCGCAACCCUUGUCCUUAGUUACCAGCACGUUAUGGUGGGCACUCUAAGGAGACUGCCGGUGACAAACCGGGAGGAAGGUGGGGAUGACGUCAAGUCAUCAUGGCCCUUACGGCCUGGGCUACACACGUGCUACAAUGGUCGGUACAAAGGGUUGCCAAGCCGCGAGGUGGAGCUAAUCCCAAUAAAACCGAUCCGUAGUCCGGAUCGCAGUCUGCAACUCGACUGCGUGAAGUCGGAAUCGCUAGUAAUCGUGAAUCAGAAUGUCACGGUGAAUACGUUCCCGGGCCUU
Molecule: ribosomal RNA, 292 nt
Filed under: uncultured Pseudomonas sp.
Lineage: Bacteria; Pseudomonadati; Pseudomonadota; Gammaproteobacteria; Pseudomonadales; Pseudomonadaceae
Description: partial 16S ribosomal RNA
Rfam family: Bacterial small subunit ribosomal RNA
Source: RNAcentral